CUUACUUUCAUUACACUCGGAGAAUAACAAAAUUAAAGCAAUGCAGAGCCUGCUUUUCUAGGGUGCCCCAGAGGACCAACUGGAUCUUACAUUAAAGCUAAUGUUGGGGAACUAGCUUUUGGUUGGAUAUGUGGGACUUGAUGAAUGAUGGGAGACCCCUUCGAUUCUAACCAUCAAGAAGUGGGCUGCAACUGUCGAUGGCAAUAGAAUUUCCUUUCAUGGUUUACUAGAAAGGCAAAUCAACAAGCUUAUGGUUGUAGAGAUGAAAGAAGAGUUGGAAUCUAGGGUUUAUCAAGGGUGAUUGUCAAGGCAAAUCAAUAUGAGGACCAUUGGUUUCUGCUAUAGAAAACUGGUUUGUAUUUGUUAAUGAGGCCCUUCAUU
Non-coding RNA from Corylus avellana, 381 nucleotides. NCBI's taxonomy places the organism in Eukaryota, Viridiplantae, Streptophyta, Magnoliopsida, Fagales, Betulaceae. The record is from RefSeq and is a predicted model, not a curated record.